RNAcentral lists this ribosomal RNA (450 nucleotides) under uncultured bacterium. RNAcentral describes it as "partial 16S ribosomal RNA". It matches the Rfam family "Bacterial small subunit ribosomal RNA", at positions 354 to 796 of the family's 1533-position model. The record is from RNAcentral.
GUGGGGAAUUUUGGACAAUGGGCGCAAGCCUGAUCCAGCAAUGCCGCGUGCAGGAAGAAGGCCUUCGGGUUGUAAACUGCUUUUGUACGGAACGAAAAGACUCCUUCUAAUAAAGGGGGUCCAUGACGGUACCGUAAGAAUAAGCACCGGCUAACUACGUGCCAGCAGCCGCGGUAAUACGUAGGGUGCAAGCGUUAAUCGGAAUUACUUGGCGGAAAGCGUGCGCAGGCGGUUAUAUAAGACAGAUGUGAAAUCCCCGGGCUCAACCUGGGAACUGCAUUUGUGACUGUAUAGCUAGAGUACGGUAGAGGGGGAUGGAAUUCCGCGUGUAGCAGUGAAAUGCGUAGAUAUGCGGAGGAACACCGAUGGCGAAGGCAAUCCCCUGGACCUGUACUGACGCUCAUGCACGAAAGCGUGGGGAGCAAACAGGAUUAGAAACCCUGGUAGUCC